UAAUACGUAGGGUGCGAGCGUUAAUCGGAAUUACUGGGCGUAAAGCGUGCGCAGGCGGCUCUUUAAGUCAGAUGUGAAAGCCCCGGGCUUAACCUGGGAACUGCGUUUGAAACUGGAGAGCUGGAGUGUGGCAGAGGAAGGUGGAAUUCCUGGUGUAGCAGUGAAAUGCGUAGAGAUCAGGAGGAACACCGAUGGCGAAGGCAGCCUUCUGGGCCAACACUGACGCUCAUGCACGAAAGCGUGGGGAGCAAACAGGAUUAGAUACCCUGGUAGUCCACGCCCUAAACGAUGUCGACUGGUUGUUGGGGGAGUUAAAUCCCUUAGUAACGAAGCUAACGCGUGAAGUCGACCGCCUGGGGAGUACGGCCGCAAGGUUGAAACUUAAAGGAAUUGACGG
RNAcentral lists this ribosomal RNA (397 nucleotides) under uncultured bacterium. Its description in RNAcentral is "bacterial SSU rRNA". It matches the Rfam family "Bacterial small subunit ribosomal RNA", at positions 521 to 916 of the family's 1533-position model. The record is from RNAcentral.